Molecule: ribosomal RNA, 164 nt
Filed under: Aglaia grandis
Lineage: Eukaryota; Viridiplantae; Streptophyta; Magnoliopsida; Sapindales; Meliaceae
Also listed under: 1 other name
Description: 5.8S ribosomal RNA
Rfam family: 5.8S ribosomal RNA
About the family: 5.8S ribosomal RNA (5.8S rRNA) is a component of the large subunit of the eukaryotic ribosome. It is transcribed by RNA polymerase I as part of the 45S precursor that also contains 18S and 28S rRNA. Functionally, it is thought that 5.8S rRNA may be involved in ribosome translocation.
Source: RNAcentral
AAUACGACUCUCGGCAACGGAUAUCUCGGCUCUCGCAUCGAUGAAGAACGUAGCGAAAUGCGAUACUUGGUGUGAAUUGCAGAAUCCCGUGAACCAUCGAGUCUUUGAACGCAAGUUGCGCCCCAAGCCUUUAGGCCGAGGGCACGUCUGCCUGGGUGUCACGC